Molecule: non-coding RNA, 30 nt
Filed under: Cricetulus griseus (Chinese hamster)
Lineage: Eukaryota; Metazoa; Chordata; Mammalia; Rodentia; Cricetidae
Source: RNAcentral
UGGGCUGGAGGAAGAGCAUCUUACGGUGUA